GGGAAGGUGGCUCAGUGGUAGAGCGCUUGCCUUGCAUGCAUUAGGCCCUGGGUUUGAUUCCUCAGCACCCCA
Dipodomys ordii (Ord's kangaroo rat) is the source of this 72-nucleotide non-coding RNA. Lineage: Eukaryota; Metazoa; Chordata; Mammalia; Rodentia; Heteromyidae. The record is from Rfam.